RNAcentral lists this ribosomal RNA (253 nucleotides) under uncultured bacterium. Its description in RNAcentral is "partial 16S ribosomal RNA". It matches the Rfam family "Bacterial small subunit ribosomal RNA", at positions 524 to 776 of the family's 1533-position model. The record is from RNAcentral.
UACGUAGGUGACAAGCGUUGUCCGGAUUUACUGGGCGUAAAGAGCGCGCAGGCGGUCGAUCAAGUCGAGUGUGAAAGCCCCCGGCUCAACUGGGGAGGGUCAUUCGAUACUGAUCGACUCGAAGGCAGGAGAGGGUAGUGGAAUUCCCGGUGUAGUGGUGAAAUUCGUAGAUAUUCGCAAGAACACCAGUGGCGAAGGCGGCUCACUGGCCCGAUACUGACGCUGAGGCACGAAAGCGUGGGGAGCAAACAGG